CAAAAACUAUGUCAACAAGUCCCCUAAAAGGAGAGGAACAGAGAUUGCCACAAGGUGUUGAUUAAACCAUUGGCAUCUCCACACUUGAAAUAUAUUUCACAGUUCAGUUUGACUUGGCAUGAUUUUGAUAGAGCUUCUUAGUGGUGCAUUGUUUGUUUGGGAUAUGCAAGAGAAAGACUGGGAAUUGAUCUGUCUUUUAUGUAGGAGAGAUUCAAGGCUGAUUUACUAUAUUUGGAGCUUGAAAAAUCACUGCUUUACCAACAGCAGGGAAUUGUGGAUGGAGGGAGACUACCAACUUUUGUUUUAUGCCUCUUUAUGUACAAAGACUUAGAUCUUUUUUCUUUGUAGCCGUGUUUUCUAGGCUCAUAAGAGACUGGUAAAAAUUGUAAGUUGGAGAUGGGAAUUUUGUUACCAGAUGCUAUGCACAUUUCUCCCCAUUGCUUAGCUUAUGCAGCUCAGCCUUGGCCUGAAAUAACCCCUUGUAUUAGAGCACUGGGCCUCCUUUAUGUGUGCUAGCUGUGGAUUUGUCUCAUGCUGCAGUGUACAGAAAUAUUCACUGGAGACUAAGCUGAGACCACGGUCUCAUUUGCAUUGGACCUGAACUUUCCUGGCAUGAAAGGAAAGAAGGGAAGAGGCCCAUGUCCAAGGCUGCCUUGAUGCUAUGCCCAAGCCCCACCUUUACAAUCACACAUGGAAAUGAUUUGGAACAACGGGAAAAUAAAAAAGCCUUUUGAAGCUUUGUCCCAAGAGAGAGGAACAGAAGAAACGAAAGAGAAUACACCAUGAUGCUCAGUAACAAUGGUAACCAGUGUCUAUUCAGCGUCACAGCAAAGCUUGCACUGGCCUAACUCAAAGUCAACAAUCAGCAGCUAUUACCAUGCACUGAAAAUCUCACCCUCCUGGAAAAAUGCACAUCUGCUCAGUGCAUCUCUUAAGCAAUGGGGACCCUCAAAUUUAGUGGCAUUUUCUGCUAACACGAUGAAGUGUUUAGCUCUUUAGGGCAGGGACUGUCUCUUUACUGCACUCCUAAGGCCCUGAUCCUUGAACGUUGCCCCAAGGCGCAGGGGUGGGGAAACUGAGGUUUGCUACACACAAUAAAAUGCCCUUUUUUCAAACCUAAUGCAGUACCUUUCAGACAGAUUCUCUGAGCAUGUGUACUGGUAGAAAUCCUUGGCAGAGUCCGUCUUCUGUGAGCCAAGUACUCAGCGUCCUCCUAUAUCAUUCUGCUGUGAAAAGAUGGAUGACUUGCACAGAGGGAAUGUAGUACAGCUGGCUAUUAAAUUAAGACUGCCAGAGUCAAAGGUAGCCCUGGCUUGAAAUACUACUGCUUGUUUUUAUGAAGUAUUGAAUAAUACCUUGUUGUCUGGAGUCUGAGUCAGCUUUCAUAGGUUCAUAGAUUCCAAGGCCAGACAGG
Molecule: long non-coding RNA, 1414 nt
Organism: Trachemys scripta elegans
Lineage: Eukaryota; Metazoa; Chordata; Testudines; Emydidae
Exons: 3
Source: RefSeq, a predicted model, not a curated record